GCAGUCGAACGAUGAUCCGGCUUCGGUCGGGGAUUAGUGGCGAACGGGUGAGUAACACGUGGGCAAUCUGCCCUGCACUCUGGGAUAAGCCUGGGAAACUGGGUCUAAUACCGGAUAUGACCUUCUCUCGCAUGGGGGAGGGUGGAAAGCUUUUGCGGUGCAGGAUGGGCCCGCGGCCUAUCAGCUUGUUGGUGGGGUAGUGGCCUACCAAGGCGACGACGGGUAGCCGGCCUGAGAGGGUGACCGGCCACACUGGGACUGAGACACGGCCCAGACUCCUACGGGAGGCAGCAGUGGGGAAUAUUGCACAAUGGGCGCAAGCCUGAUGCAGCGACGCCGCGUGAGGGAUGACGGCCUUCGGGUUGUAAACCUCUUUCAGCAGGGAAGAAGCCUUGCCUUUUUGGGUGGGUGACGGUACUUGCAGAAGAAGCACCGGCUAACUACGUGCCAGCAGCCGCGGUAAUACGUAGGGUGCAAGCGUUGUCCGGAUUUAUUGGGCGUAAAGAGCUCGUAGGCGGCUUGUCGCGUCGAUUGUGAAAGCUCAGGGCUUAACCCUGGGUCUGCAGUCGAUACGGGCAGGCUAGAGUUCGGUAGGGGAGACUGGAAUUCCUGGUGUAGCGGUGAAAUGCGCAGAUAUCAGGAGGAACACCGGUGGCGAAGGCGGGUCUCUGGGCCGAUACUGACGCUGAGGAGCGAAAGCGUGGGGAGCGAACAGGAUUAGAUACCCUGGUAGUCCACGCUGUAAACGGUGGGAACUAGGUGUGGGCAGCAUUCCACGUUGUCUGUGCCGUAGCUAACGCAUUAAGUUCCCCGCCUGGGGAGUACGGCCGCAAGGCUAAAACUCAAAGGAAUUGACGGGG
This 860-nucleotide ribosomal RNA is filed under the name Streptomyces zhaozhouensis. RNAcentral's name for it is "bacterial SSU rRNA". It matches the Rfam family "Bacterial small subunit ribosomal RNA", at positions 57 to 918 of the family's 1533-position model. Lineage: Bacteria; Bacillati; Actinomycetota; Actinomycetes; Kitasatosporales; Streptomycetaceae. The record is from RNAcentral.